RNAcentral lists this transfer RNA (73 nucleotides) under Felis catus (domestic cat). It matches the Rfam family "tRNA". Rfam says of the family: Transfer RNA (tRNA) molecules are approximately 80 nucleotides in length. Their secondary structure includes four short double-helical elements and three loops (D, anti-codon, and T loops). Lineage: Eukaryota; Metazoa; Chordata; Mammalia; Carnivora; Felidae. The record is from Rfam by way of RNAcentral.
GCCUGGCUGGUUUAGUCGGUAGAGCGCAUGACUCUUAAUCUCAGGGUCAUGAGUUCAAGCCCCAUGUUGGGUG